This is a non-coding RNA of Picea glauca (white spruce), 119 nucleotides long. The record is from Rfam. NCBI's taxonomy places the organism in Eukaryota, Viridiplantae, Streptophyta, Pinopsida, Pinales, Pinaceae.
GGGUGCGAUCAUACCAGCGUUAAUACACCGGAUCCCAUCAGAACUCCGCAGUUAAGCGCGCUUGGGCUAGAGUAGUGCUGGGAUGGGUGACCUCCCGGGAAGUCCUAGUGUUGCACCCU